GACAGUUUUAUAAGAGUCUGGCGUUUCCCCUCCUUGUGCUUUUCUCUCGUGUGCCAUGUGAAGAACCUUGCUUCCUCUUUGCCUUCCACCAUGAUUCUUCAGGUGCCUGGAUGUUGAGGGGCAAAUAGGACUGUUCACUGAAGGAGCUAGAGAAUGGAAGAGAAGGUUGUGUCAGAUAGAAAUAACAGAAGCUUUCUGAAAUGAAAACAGAAAUGUUACAACUUGCACCACAGUACUGGACUGAAACGAAGAUGUAACACAGCCAUAAUAAUUUAAAUUAAUAGCAAAUAAAUAAAGAAAAAAAGAACUUCAUUGUGAGGACCAUAGUCAUGGGAUAGCUCUGUCUUUUCGGGGAAAGUGGAGUAGAGGGACAGAGUCACCCCAGGAGAAAAAAUGCUUAAAUUAAGACUCCCUGAGAGACUGAAUAAGAGUAUGAUUAGUUCAGCCUUGCUUUCAUCCUCCACUUCCCCCUCCCACUGUAGACUUCAGUUUUAAUAAUGAUUAAAGAAUAAUGCCUGAAUCCCAUCUGAAUGGCUUUUGAGAUUUAACUCACUGAAUCUAUUCAUAGCUUUGAGCUUGUAAGGGGGACUGAACAGAUCUGCACAACUAAUCGUGGAAUAUUACACUGAUACUUCAUCUCCCACAUCAAUA
This 651-nucleotide long non-coding RNA is filed under the name Homo sapiens (human). Its description in RNAcentral is "HSALNT0328727". The record is from RNAcentral. Lineage: Eukaryota; Metazoa; Chordata; Mammalia; Primates; Hominidae.